CCUACGGGAGGCAGCAGUGAGGAAUAUUGGUCAAUGGACGCGAGCCUGAACCAGCCAAGUAGCGUGCAGGAUGACUGCCCUACGGGUUGUAAACUUCUUUUAUAAAGGAAUAAAGUGAAGCACGUGUGCCUUUUUGUAUGUACUUUAUGAAUAAGGAUCGGCUCACUCCGUGCCCGCAGCCGCGUUCAUACGGAGGAUCCUAGCGUUUUCCGGAUUUCUUUGGUUUUAAGGGAGCGUAGAUGCGUUGUUAAGUCAGUUGUGAAAGUUUGCGGCUCAACCGUAAAAUUGCAAGUGAUACUGGCAGUCUUGAGUACAGUUGAGGUAGGCGGAAUUCGUGGUGUAGCGGUGAAAUGCUUAGAUAUCACGAAGAACGCCGAUUGCGAAGGCAGCUUACUAAACUGCCACUGACAUUGAUGCUCGAAAGUGUGGGUAUCAAACAGGAUUAGAUACCCUUGUAGUC
RNAcentral lists this ribosomal RNA (460 nucleotides) under uncultured bacterium. RNAcentral's name for it is "partial 16S ribosomal RNA". It matches the Rfam family "Bacterial small subunit ribosomal RNA", at positions 338 to 795 of the family's 1533-position model. The record is from RNAcentral.